UACGGAGGGGGCUAGCGUUGUUCGGAAUUACUGGGCGUAAAGCGCGCGUAGGCGGGCUGUUAAGUCGGGGGUGAAAUCCCGGGGCUCAACCCCGGAACUGCCCUCGAUACUGGCAGCCUAGAGGACGGAAGAGGCGAGUGGAAUUCCGAGUGUAGAGGUGAAAUUCGUAGAUAUUCGGAGGAACACCCGUGGCGAAGGCGGCUCGCUGGUCCGUUUCUGACGCUGAGGUGCGAAAGCGUGGGGAGCAAACAGG
RNAcentral lists this ribosomal RNA (253 nucleotides) under uncultured bacterium. RNAcentral's name for it is "partial 16S ribosomal RNA". It matches the Rfam family "Bacterial small subunit ribosomal RNA", at positions 524 to 776 of the family's 1533-position model. The record is from RNAcentral.